GUUCUGGCUUCAGUGGUAUAUAUACUAAAUUUGAAUACAGAGAAGAUUGGCCUGGCCCCUGCACAAGCAUGACACGCAAAUUGCUGAAGCAUUGCAUGAAAAA
This is a small nuclear RNA of Manis pentadactyla (Chinese pangolin), 103 nucleotides long. The record is from RefSeq and is a predicted model, not a curated record. NCBI's taxonomy places the organism in Eukaryota, Metazoa, Chordata, Mammalia, Pholidota, Manidae.